Molecule: ribosomal RNA, 888 nt
Filed under: Staphylococcus aureus
Lineage: Bacteria; Bacillati; Bacillota; Bacilli; Caryophanales; Staphylococcaceae
Description: bacterial SSU rRNA
Rfam family: Bacterial small subunit ribosomal RNA
Source: RNAcentral
UUUAUGGAGAGUUUGAUCCUGGCUCAGGAUGAACGCUGGCGGCGUGCCUAAUACAUGCAAGUCGAGCGAACGGCCUGACGGAGCAACGCCGCGUGAGUGAUGAAGGUCUUCGGAUCGUAAAACUCUGUUAUUAGGGAAGAACAUAUGUGUAAGUAACUGUGCACAUCUUGACGGUACCUAAUCAGAAAGCCACGGCUAACUACGUGCCAGCAGCCGCGGUAAUACGUAGGUGGCAAGCGUUAUCCGGAAUUAUUGGGCGUAAAGCGCGCGUAGGCGGUUUUUUAAGUCUGAUGUGAAAGCCCACGGCUCAACCGUGGAGGGUCAUUGGAAACUGGAAAACUUGAGUGCAGAAGAGGAAAGUGGAAUUCCAUGUGUAGCGGUGAAAUGCGCAGAGAUAUGGAGGAACACCAGUGGCGAAGGCGACUUUCUGGUCUGUAACUGACGCUGAUGUGCGAAAGCGUGGGGAUCAAACAGGAUUAGAUACCCUGGUAGUCCACGCCGUAAACGAUGAGUGCUAAGUGUUAGGGGGUUUCCGCCCCUUAGUGCUGCAGCUAACGCAUUAAGCACUCCGCCUGGGGAGUACGACCGCAAGGUUGAAACUCAAAGGAAUUGACGGGGACCCGCACAAGCGGACUGCCGGUGACAAACCGGAGGAAGGUGGGGAUGACGUCAAAUCAUCAUGCCCCUUAUGAUUUGGGCUACACACGUGCUACAAUGGACAAUACAAAGGGCAGCGAAACCGCGAGGUCAAGCAAAUCCCAUAAAGUUGUUCUCAGUUCGGAUUGUAGUCUGCAACUCGACUACAUGAAGCUGGAAUCGCUAGUAAUCGUAGAUCAGCAUGCUACGGUGAAUACGUUCCCGGGUCUUGUACACACCGCCCGUCACACC